CACAUGCCCAGGCAGUCGAGACCUUCGAGGCUGCAAGCGCGGGAAACCGUGCUGGUCGUUUCUUCCUACGGACGUACCGCGUCCAUCCACGCCACCCACAAGGGACCUCUCCCUUGCGGGC
Non-coding RNA from Variovorax sp. WDL1, 121 nucleotides. NCBI's taxonomy places the organism in Bacteria, Pseudomonadati, Pseudomonadota, Betaproteobacteria, Burkholderiales, Comamonadaceae. The record is from Rfam.